Molecule: ribosomal RNA, 432 nt
Filed under: uncultured bacterium
Lineage: Bacteria
Description: partial 16S ribosomal RNA
Rfam family: Bacterial small subunit ribosomal RNA
Source: RNAcentral
AACGAACGCUGGCGGCAUGCCUAACACAUGCAAGUCGAACGAGACCUUCGGGUCUAGUGGCGCACGGGUGCGUAACGCGUGGGAACCUGCCCUUAGGUUCGGAAUAACUCCCCGAAAGGGGUGCUAAUACCGGAUAAUGUCUUCGGACCAAAGAUUUAUCGCCUUUGGAUGGGCCCGCGUUGGAUUAGCUAGUUGGUAGGGUAAAAGCCUACCAAGGCGACGAUCCAUAGCUGGUCUGAGAGGAUGAUCAGCCACACUGGGACUGCGACACGGCCCAGACUCCUACGGGAGGCAGCAGUGGGGAAUAUUGGACAAUGGGCGAAAGCCUGAUCCAGCAAUGCCGCGUGAGGGAUGAAGGCCUUAGGGUUGUAAAGCUCUUUUACCCGGGAUGAUAAUGACAGUACCGGGAGAAUAAGCUCCGGCUAACUCCGU